This 301-nucleotide ribosomal RNA is filed under the name uncultured bacterium. Its description in RNAcentral is "partial 16S ribosomal RNA". It matches the Rfam family "Bacterial small subunit ribosomal RNA", at positions 509 to 809 of the family's 1533-position model. The record is from RNAcentral.
CAGCCGCCGCGGUAAUACGGAGGGUGCAAGCGUUAAUCGGAAUUACUGGGCGUAAAGCGUGCGUAGGCGGUUCGUUAAGUCUGUUGUGAAAGCCCCGGGCUCAACCUGGGAAUGGCAAUGGAUACUGGCGAGCUAGAGUGUGUCAGAGGAUGGUGGAAUUCCCGGUGUAGCGGUGAAAUGCGUAGAGAUCGGGAGGAACAUCAGUGGCGAAGGCGGCCAUCUGGGACAACACUGACGCUGAGGCACGAAAGCGUGGGGAGCAAACAGGAUUAGAUACCCCAGUAGUCCCUGUCUCUUAUAA